This 72-nucleotide transfer RNA is filed under the name Ovis aries (sheep). It matches the Rfam family "tRNA". Rfam says of the family: Transfer RNA (tRNA) molecules are approximately 80 nucleotides in length. Their secondary structure includes four short double-helical elements and three loops (D, anti-codon, and T loops). The record is from Rfam by way of RNAcentral. Lineage: Eukaryota; Metazoa; Chordata; Mammalia; Artiodactyla; Bovidae.
UCCCUGGUGGCUCAGACGGUAAAGUGUCUGCCUGCGAUGCGGGAGACCCAGGUUCGAUUCCUGGCUCGGGAA